Molecule: ribosomal RNA, 800 nt
Filed under: uncultured bacterium
Lineage: Bacteria
Description: bacterial SSU rRNA
Rfam family: Bacterial small subunit ribosomal RNA
Source: RNAcentral
GAGUUUGAUCCUGGCUCAGGAUGAACGCUAGCGGCAGGCCUAAUACAUGCAAGUCGAACGGUAAGUAGAGUAGCAAUACUUUACCAAGAGUGACGCACGGGUGCGUAACACGUAUGCAACCUACCCUUUACAGAUGGAUAGCUCGGGGAAACUCGAAUUAACCCGUCAUAAUAUAAUUGGAUGGCAUCAUUUGAUUAUUAAAACUGAGGUGGUAAAGGAUGGGCAUGCGUCUGAUUAGCUAGUUGGUAGUGUAACGGACUACCAAGGCGAUGAUCAGUAGGGGAACUGAGAGGUUGAUCCCCCACACUGGCACUGAGAUACGGGCCAGACUCCUACGGGAGGCAGCAGUAGGGAAUAUUGGUCAAUGGGUGAGAGCCUGAACCAGCCAUGCCGCGUGCAGGAAGAAGGCCUUCUGGGUUGUAAACUGCUUUUGCCAGGGGAUAAAAUGACCUUGCGAGGUUAAUUGAAGGUACCUGGUGAAUAAGCCACGGCUAACUACGUGCCAGCAGCCGCGGUAAUACGUAGGUGGCAAGCGUUGUCCGGAUUUAUUGGGUUUAAAGGGUGCGUAGGCGGCCCUGUAAGUCAGUGCUGAAAUAUUCCAGCUUAACUGGGAGGGUGGCAUUGAUACUGUGGGGCUAGAGUACAGAUGAGGUAGGCGGAAUUGACGGUGUAGCGGUGAAAUGCUUAGAUAUCGUCAAGAACACCUAUAGCGAAGGCAGCUUACUAGGCUGUAACUGACGCUGAGGCACGAAAGUGUGGGGAUCAAACAGGAUUAGAUACCCUGGUAGUCCACACUGUAA